Molecule: ribosomal RNA, 472 nt
Filed under: uncultured bacterium
Lineage: Bacteria
Description: bacterial SSU rRNA
Rfam family: Bacterial small subunit ribosomal RNA
Source: RNAcentral
UUCCAGACUCCUACGGGAGGCAGCAGUGGGGAAUCUUCCGCAAUGGGCGAAAGCCUGACGGAGCAACGCCGCGUGAUCGAAUGAAGGCCUUCGGGUUGUAAAGAUCUGUUGACAGGGACGAAUAAGCCAUGCGAAUAGUUUGGUGUAUGACGGUACCUGUUUAGAAAGCUCCGGCUAACUACGUGCCAGCAGCCGCGGUAAUACGGGGGGUGCAAGCGUUGUCCGGAAUCAUUGGGCGUAAAGCGUUCGUAGGCGGUAAAGUAAGUCAGAUGUUAAAGCCCGGGGCUCAACUCCGGUUCGGCAUUUGAUACUACUUAACUAGAAUGCGGUAGAGGUAAAGGGAAUUCCUGGUGUAGCGGUGAAAUGCGUAGAUAUCAGGAGGAACAUCGGUGGCGAAAGCGCUUUACUGGGCCGUUAUUGACGCUGAGGAACGAAAGCCGGGGGAGCAAAUGGGAUUAGAUACCCCGGUAGC